UUCUGGUUGAUCCUGCCAGUAGUCAUAUGCUUGUCUCAAAGAUUAAGCCAUGCAUGUCUAAGUACAUACCGAAAUAAGGUGAAACCGCGAAUGGCUCAUUAAAUCAGUUACGGUUCCUUAGAUAUUGACUAUCUACAUGGAUAACUGUGGUAAUUCUAGAGCUAAUACAUGCAAAAAAUCCUCGACCUUCGGGAAGAGGAGCAUUUAUUAGACCAAGACCAAUGGGACCCUCGGGUUCCUCUGGGUGGUGACUCUGGAUAACUAUGCUAAUCGCAUGGCCUAUGUGCCGGCGAUGAAUCUUUCAAGUGUCUGCCUUAUCAACUGUCGAUGGUAGGUUAUGCGCCUACCAUGGUUGUAACGGGUAACGGGGAAUCAGGGUUCGAUUCCGGAGAGGGAGCCUGAGAAACGGCUACCACAUCCAAGGAAGGCAGCAGGCACGCAAAUUACCCACUUCCGGCACGGAGAGGUAGUGACGAAAAAUAACAAUACGGGACUCUAUUGAGGCUCCGUAAUUGGAAUGAGAACAAUUUAAAUCCUUUAACGAGGAUCUAUUGGAGGGCAAGUCUGGUGCCAGCAGCCGCGGUAAUUCCAGCUCCAAUAGCGUAUAUUAAAGUUGUUGCGGUUAAAAAGCUCGUAGUUGGAUCUCAGUCCAAGCUAAGGGGUCCACUUGUUAGUGGCUACUUCUUAGCUGGACAUUUUACCGAGCCGUCUUUUGAUGCUCUUCACCGAGUGUCAUGAGCGAUCGGUACGUUUACUUUGAAAAAAUUAGAGUGCUCAAAGCAGGCGUAACGCCCGAAUAAUCUUGCAUGGGAUAAUGGAAUAGGACCUCGGUUCUAUUUUGUUGGUCUUCGGGACCUGAGGUAAUGAUUAAGAGGGACAGACGGGGGCAUUCGUACUGCGACGUUAGAGGUGAAAUUCUUGGAUCGUCGCAAGACGCACUACUGCGAAGGCAUUUGCCAAGAAUGUUUUCAUUAAUCAAGAACGAAAGUUAUGGGUUCGAAGGCGAUCAGAUACCGCCCUAGUCAUAACCGUAAACGAUUCAAACUAGGCGCCCGACGGCGUUUUCAUUGACCCGUCGCACGCCUUGCCGGAAACGAAAGUGUUCGUGUUCCGGGGGAAAUAUGUCUGCAAAGAGGAAACUUAAAGGAAUUGACGGAAGGGCACCACCAGGGGUGGAGCCUGCGGCUUAAUUUGACUCAACACGGGGAAACUCACCCGGCCCGGACACCGUAAGGAUUGACAGAUUGAGAGCUCUUUCUUGAUUCGGUGGGUGGUGGUGCAUGGCCGUUCUUAGUUGGUGGAGUGAUUUGUCUGGUUUAUUCCGAUAACGAACGAGACUCUGGCCUGCUAACUAGUGUUCGGAUCUUUACGUCCGCUUCGCUUCUUAGAGGGACAGGCGGCGCUUAGCCGCAUGAAAAAGAGCAAUAACAGGUCUGUGAUGCCCUUAGAUGUCCGGGGCUGCACGCGCGCUACACUGAAAGAAUCAGCGUGUUGUUUUACCUGGCUCGAAAGAGCUGGGUAAUCCGGUGAAAAUCUUUCGUGAUUGGGAUCGGGACUUGCAAUUAUUUCCCUUGAACGAGGAAUCCCUAGUAAGUGCGGGUCAUCAGCUCGCGCUGAUUACGUCCCUGCCCUUUGUACACACCGCCCGUCGCUGCCCGGAACUGAGCCGUUUCGAGAAAAAUGGGGACUGUCUGCUUGUGGCCUUCACGGGCUGUUUGCAGAUGGAAACCGCUUUAAUCGCAGCGGCUUGAACCGGGCAAAAGUCGUAACAAGGUUUCCGUAGGUGAACCUGCA
This 1794-nucleotide ribosomal RNA is filed under the name Phrynidae environmental sample. RNAcentral describes it as "SSU rRNA". It matches the Rfam family "Eukaryotic small subunit ribosomal RNA". Lineage: Eukaryota; Metazoa; Arthropoda; Arachnida; Amblypygi; Phrynidae. The record is from RNAcentral.